ACAGCCAAGGGAACGGGCUUGGAAUAAUUAGCGGGGAAAGAAGACCCUGUUGAGCUUGACUCUAGUCUGGCAGUGUAAGGAGACAUAAGAGGUGUAGCAUAAGUGGGAGAUAUAUUAGUUUCGGCUAAAUAUAUCAAAAAUGAAAUACCACUACUCUUAUUGUUUCCUUACUUACUUGAUAAAAUGGAACGUGUAUCAUUCACUUAGCCAUUUUAUGAAUAUAUUUAUAUAUUUUAUGGUAUUUUGUUUUGAUGCGAGCUUCUUGUUUAAAGUACCAAGAGUUUGUUAUAUACACCAAACAAAUAUCAAUUAAAUUUGCUUUCCAUUAAUAAUGGUUUGUUAAAUAUUAAUUGAAUUUGGUAUAACUAUUAUACUUAGGUAUGAUCCAAUUCAAGGACAUUGCCAGGUGGGGAGUUUGACUGGGGCGGUACAUCUCUCAAAUAAUAACGGAGGUGUCCCAAGGCCAGCUCAGUGCGGACAGAAACCACACAUAGAGCAAAAGGGCAAAUGCUGACUUGAUCUCGGUGUUCAGUACAUACAGAGACAGCAAAAGCUCGGCCUAUCGAUCCUUUUGGUUUAAAGAGUUUUUAACAAGA
Molecule: ribosomal RNA, 596 nt
Filed under: Plinthina binotata
Lineage: Eukaryota; Metazoa; Arthropoda; Insecta; Diptera; Tabanidae
Description: eukaryotic LSU rRNA
Rfam family: Eukaryotic large subunit ribosomal RNA
Source: RNAcentral